Molecule: ribosomal RNA, 255 nt
Filed under: uncultured bacterium
Lineage: Bacteria
Description: partial 16S ribosomal RNA
Rfam family: Bacterial small subunit ribosomal RNA
Source: RNAcentral
UACGUAGGGGGCUAGCGUUGUCCGGAAUCAUUGGGCGUAAAGCGCGUGUAGGCGGUUCGGUAAGUCCGCUGUGAAAGUCGGGGGCUCAACCCUCGAAUGCCGGUGGAUACUGUCGGACUAGAGUACGGAAGAGGCGAGUGGAAUUCCUGGUGUAGCGGUGAAAUGCGCAGAUAGUCAAGGAAGAACACCCGUGGCGAAGGCGGUUCUCUGGAACGCAACUGACGCUGAGACGCGAAAGCGUGGGGAGCAAACAGG